UUAUAUACAUUAAUUCUGAUGACUUACGCCAACACUCCCCCUCAAGUUGGUACAAAGAUAUCUCUAACACCUAACUUGUCAAAUGAGUCAUGAAAUUUUUUACUGGACACUGCCUUAGUGAGUACAUAUGCCAGCUGGUCUUCUGAUCUGACAAAUGGAAAUUGAAUGAUUUUCUCAUCAAGGUUCUUUUUUAUGAAAUGCCUAUCUACUUCAACAUGCUUUGUGCGAUCAUGUUGAACGGGGUUGUGAGAUAUAUCAAUGGCAGCCUUGUUGUCACAGAAUAAACUCAUUUCAGAACCAGGACAAAAACCAAUCUCUGUUAAUUGUUUCCGAAGCCAGAGAAGCUCACAUAGUCCUUUAGCCAUACCUCUGAAUUCAGCUUCAGCACUUGACAACGCCACCACAUUUUGUUUCUUGCUUCUCCAUGUAGCCAAAUUUCCUCCCACGAAAGUGAAGUAUCCUGAGGUUUAUUUUCGAUCCAUGACAUUCCCUGCCCAAUCCGCAUCCGUAUAACCUUCAAUAUUUAGAUAACCAUUCUUGGUGAACAUCAACCCUUUCCCUGGUGAGCCUUUUAAAUAGUGUAGAAUCCGAAAAACUGCAUCCAUAUGAUUCUCCCUCGGACAGUGCAUGAACUGACUUACUAUGCUCACAGCAUACGCAAUGUCAGGGCGAGUAUGUGACAAAUAAAUCAGCUUACCCACUAGCCUUUGGUAUCUUCCUUUGUCAGCUGGUGCUUGAUUAGAACAUAACCCAAGUCCAUGAUUUUGAACAAUUGGACUAUCUGCUGGCUUGCAAUCCACCAGUCCUACUUCUGCUAACAAAUCUAACACAUAUUUUCUUUGAGAAAGAAAUAUGCCUCUUUUCAAUCUUGCCACCUCUAUCCCUAGAAAAUAUUUAAGCCCACCUAAGUCCUUCAUUUCGAAUUCAGCAGACAACUACUCUUGUAAUUUGGAGAUUUCCUCAACAUCAUCUCCUGUGAUAAUCAUGUCGUCAACGUAAACAAGCAAAGCAGUUACCUUUCCUUGUCCAUGCUUUAGGAAAAGUGUGUGAUCUGAAUUACUUUGAUAAUAGCCAUAUUUUUUCAUAGCAGAGCUGAAUCGACCAAACCAUGCCCGAGGGGACUGUUUUAGUCCAUAUAGUGCCUUUUCCAAUUUGCAUACAAAUUUGGUUUCUAGAGAGACUGUAUAGCCCGGUGGAAUGUCCAUGUAGACUUCUUUUUCAAGAUCGCCAUGGAGAAAGGCGUUCUUCACGUCAAGUUGGUGUAAAGGCCAGUCUAAAUUUGCUGCAAGAGAUAAUAACACUCUAACAGUAUUCAGUUUCACAACCAGAGAGAAUGUCUCGGAGUAAUCUACACCAUAUGUUUGUGUGAAUCCCUUCGCCACAAGCCUUUCCUUGUACCUGUCAAUCGAUCCAUCAGCCUUGUAUUUUAUAGAAAACACCCACUUACAUCCCACUAGUUUUUUUCCUUCUGGUAGUGGAACUAGAUUCCAGGUGUUAUUUUUCUGCAAGGCCUUCAGCUCCUCCUCAACUGCUUUUACCCAAUUUGGGUUAGUCAAAGCUUCUUCAAUACUACUUGGAAUAUGAUGAGAGGACAAUGCUUGCAUAAACGUCUUGAUAGGCUUGGGUAGUUCUUGAGUGGACACAUAAUUGGCAAUUGGAUAUCUUGUCUUUCUUUCUUGCUCAUCAGGGGAGUAUCUCUUUGGUGGUUUUCCACGAUUUUGCCUAAAAGGCAGAACAUAGAUAGAAGUAUCCAAGUUGUUAGUAUGAGGAUGAGUAAUAGGAGAGCUUACCUCAUGAAUAUUCUCAGUAGGAGGAGAUCCUUCGGGUACUGGAGUGAGAGGGGGUGUGACAUUCACUUCAUUAUCAGAUUGGAGUGUAAUUGGUGUAGCAUGCUCUCCACUGGUAAGUUGUUCAUCGUUGUCUCUACUGUCAGAUUCUUCUCUAUCAAGUACAUCUCUAAGUUUCUCAUUUUCUAGUGCUAUUUCCCCAUUGUCAAUUUCAACUCCUGUUAUUACCUCACCUACUAGAAACCAACUUGUCUCAUCUCCUUGAAGCCAACUCGACUCUUCAACUGUAGACUCCCCCUGAAGAGCUGAGUUAGAUAUUCUGUUUUGGAAGAAUGACUCAGAUUCUAGGAAUGUCACGUCCAUGGAGGUAUAAGUACGAUUUAUGAUAGGAUCAAAGCACCUAUAUCCUUUUUUAUGUAAUCCGUAGCCCAAAAACACACAUCGAAUGGCAUAGGGAUCUAGCUUAGUCCGUUGGUUUUUAUGAAGAUGGACAAAAGCAACACAGCUGAAAACUCGAGGAGGAAGCAUAAGAACUGAAGGCAAAGAGAUAUGGGUGGACAACACCUACAAUGGAGUUUUGAAAUUUAAGACUUUGGAAGGCAUCCGAUUUAGCAAAUAAACAGCAAUUGUGACUGCAUCAUCCCAGUGGCGAUUAGGUACAUUCGUACCAAGAAGUAGUGCUCAUGCAGUCUCUAAUACAUGGCGAUUUUUCCUCUCCGCAACGUCAUUCUGCUGUGGAGUUUGUGGGCAUGAUGUCUCAUGAAGAAGACCAUGUUGUUGAAAAUAAGCUUGGAAUUUGUUGUUGAUAAACUCUCCUCCAUUAUUUGAUCGAAGAACCUGUAUGUUGGCUGAAAAUUAGAUCUGUACCAUAGUAUGAAAUGCUUGAAAAAUGGAAAACACUUCAUCUUUAGUCUUCAUCAGGUAAAGCCAUGUCAUGCGUGUACAAUCGUCGACAAAGAUCACAAACCAACAACAAUUAGAGGGAGUAGUUAUUGGGGAAGGUCCCCAACCAUCAGAAUGUAUCAAGGAGAAAGGAGUACUAUUUUUAUUCAAACUUGGUGGAUAACAAACUCUAUGAUUCUUUGCCAAAAUACAUGUUUCACAUCUCAAGUCUUUAUUCUGUAAAUGGGAAAACAAAUCUGGGAAUAAAUGUCGUAAAUAACCGAAUGAUGGAUGCCUCAAGCGACGAUGCCAAAGCCAUAUUUGUCCUUCUUUGCUACUGACAUUAUUGGCUCGACCUGGACUGAAGUCAUCUAAGCAAUACAACCCCCCUCUCUUAGUACCACGCCCAAUUAUCUCCUUGCUGAGAAUAUCCUGUAUAAGACAAAAUUUUGGAUACAUUAGUACCACACAAUUUAGUUCUUCAGUAAUUUAACUCACUAACAUCAAUUUAUUUGAUAAAGAUGGAACCAAAAGAGUAUGAGAUAAGGACAAAGACGGUGAUAUUGAUACAACUCUAGCCCUAGUGACUGGAUGUGCAACUCCAUUGGCAUUAGUAAUACAGGUUUGCCGUAGUGGUGUCCUUUUGGAGAAGUCACUGGCGUCAAAAGUCAUGUGAUCUGUGGGCCCAGAGUCGAUAAUCCAGUCAUCAUCAUUAGAAUCAUUGGAGCUAUAAAAAGCUUGGCCAUAUUUACCUUCAUCACUGUCUACAGUAGUAGCAUAUGUGCCAGGAAUAAGAGCUAAUUGAGGUUCAGCAGUGGCAACGGCUGUGUGACCCAUGUUUCCAGUCGUAUUUGCAGUAUCUUGCUUCUUCUUAGUUUGUAAUUCAUGCCACCAAUCCGGGUACCCAUGUAGUUUGAAGCAAGUAUCUCGGGUGUGCUUUGUGUUGCCAAAAUGGGUGCACUUCCCUUCACCAGAUUGGCCCUUAGAUCUGGUUGAUGAUCCAAUCUUCGUCAGUUGUGGCUAACUUGAUUUAACUCCUUUAGUAGCCAUGACAGCACCAUUAGAAGCAUUCUCCAUACUCAAUGCCAUCACAGUUUGGCGAGUAUCUUCUCUUUGAACGUAUGCGUAUGCCUGCUCAAUGGUAGGGAACGGUUUUAGCUAGAGAACGUCACUUCUAAUGUUAUCAAGUCUGUCAUCUAAUCCAUCUAGGAAAAUAUAAACUCUUUCCUCUUGGAGAAGAGAAUUAUAUUUCUGUAUAUCCAUAGCACAUUCCAUUGGGUUGGGACGACAAAAAUCAAUUUCAUGCCAUAACCCUUGUAGAUCAUUGUAGUAUUUUUGUAUGGAUCCACCGCCUUGCCGCAUUCGAGAUACCCGUCGUCGAAGGUCAUAAACCUGUGAUGAGUCAGAUCCAUCAAAGUAUGUAGUAGCAAUAGAAUCCCAAACCUGUUUGGCUGUGGAGAACCGAAUGAAAUUCCCAACCAAGGAUGGCUCCAUUGAGUUGAUCAGCCACCCUUUCACAAUGACAUUCUCUAUUCACCAUUUGCAGAAAGAUGGGUCUGUCUCUGGUGGCUGUGGAAGGUCUUCGUUGAUAUAUCCCAGCUUGUCUUUGCCUGAGAUAUACAUCUCAACAACCUGGGACCAUAAGGCAUAGUUAGAGUCAUUUAACUUGAUGUUUAUUGGUACUAUUGUACAAUCAAUGGUGGAUGAGGCCUGAGUACAUGACAUAACUUCAGUUAUCUUGGUUGUCAAGUUGUCAAGUCUGGAUUCGGUUGAGGUGUUUGGUGAUGAUGCUAGUUUUGUAUGGUCUUCCAUGGCUUUCAGUGGCUUGAGUUCCUUUCCAAGUCAAUUCACAGGCAACCCAACCUGCUCUGAUAUCAUGUUAAAGAUAGCAAUCAGAUCUAUAUUUCAUUCAUCAUUUGUAUCCAAUAUAUACAGGUACAAAGAGAGAGUUUAAGAAGAUAUAUAUGGCUAUACAAGAUGUGAGGCUAAAUUUAAGCAUGUCCUUGAAAACCAAGGAAUCUCUACAGCUGUAGUUUCUAUAUACAUUAAUUCUGAUGACUCACGCCAACAUGCUAAUGGUAUGUGGGAAUGUAUAUCUUCAUUAAUCUAUUAGUGGCUUACAUUUGAAUAUUCUUUUAAUGAAAUUAAAAUAACUGUUUGAAGUGCAUAUGAAGGUGUUAAUGAUUGGCACCUUAAACUUGGCAUUCUUAAAUUCGAUGUCUCCUUAUUUCUACAAACAACUAGAAGAACUAUUUUUCAACUG
RNAcentral lists this unclassified non-coding RNA (4932 nucleotides) under Hevea brasiliensis (rubber tree). Lineage: Eukaryota; Viridiplantae; Streptophyta; Magnoliopsida; Malpighiales; Euphorbiaceae. The record is from RNAcentral.